Molecule: long non-coding RNA, 290 nt
Organism: Mytilus trossulus (common blue mussel)
Lineage: Eukaryota; Metazoa; Mollusca; Bivalvia; Mytilida; Mytilidae
Exons: 3
Source: RefSeq, a predicted model, not a curated record
AGAAACCACAGUUAUAUUUGAUAAACCAGAGAAUACCACGCUUCCAGCUGACAGUGAUGAUCCAAUAUACGAGACCGUAUUAAAAGUGGUAUCGGGAGGUGUUGCUGCCACUACCAUUAUAACAGUGUUAACAAAACUUAAAGGAUACUUGAAUUCUGUAAGACAAGUCAGUCAAGGAAACGAUUCGGGGGCUGCAGAAGUUGACAAUUUUGUUAACGACGGAAUUGAAUUCAUCAGUUUUUCGGAUGCAGUGAUUUCGAAUGAAGACAUUUUCAGGAACAUUCCUCCAC